This 631-nucleotide ribosomal RNA is filed under the name Vibrio alginolyticus. Its description in RNAcentral is "SSU rRNA". It matches the Rfam family "Bacterial small subunit ribosomal RNA", at positions 32 to 643 of the family's 1533-position model. The record is from RNAcentral. RNAcentral also lists the same sequence under 1 other name. Lineage: Bacteria; Pseudomonadati; Pseudomonadota; Gammaproteobacteria; Vibrionales; Vibrionaceae.
GACGCUGGCGGCAGGCCUAACCAUGCAAGUCGAGCGGAAACGAGUUAUCUGAACCUUCGGGGAACGAUAACGGCGUCGAGCGGCGGACGGGUGAGUAAUGCCUAGGAAAUUGCCCUGAUGUGGGGGAUAACCAUUGGAAACGAUGGCUAAUACCGCAUGAUGCCUACGGGCCAAAGAGGGGGACCUUCGGGCCUCUCGCGUCAGGAUAUGCCUAGGUGGGAUUAGCUAGUUGGUGAGGUAAGGGCUCACCAAGGCGACGAUCCCUAGCUGGUCUGAGAGGAUGAUCAGCCACACUGGAACUGAGACACGGUCCAGACUCCUACGGGAGGCAGCAGUGGGGAAUAUUGCACAAUGGGCGCAAGCCUGAUGCAGCCAUGCCGCGUGUGUGAAGAAGGCCUUCGGGUUGUAAAGCACUUUCAGUCGUGAGGAAGGUAGUGUAGUUAAUAGCUGCAUUAUUUGACGUUAGCGACAGAAGAAGCACCGGCUAACUCCGUGCCAGCAGCCGCGGUAAUACGGAGGGUGCGAGCGUUAAUCGGAAUUACUGGGCGUAAAGCGCAUGCAGGUGGUUUGUUAAGUCAGAUGUGAAAGCCCGGGGCUCAACCUCGGAAUAGCAUUUGAAACUGGCAGACUA